GCAGAGUGCUUUUACUGUAAGAAGUAGGGUCUUUGGAAGAAGAAUUAUCCUCAAUACAUUGCUUCUCUUGACCCAAGUAGGCUGAAUAAAAAAGAAAAGUAAGCGGUUGUUGGGCAAGAUAAUUAUAUGAUAAUAUCUUGCAACUUCUCUAUUUGUGAUACUAUGACUGGAUAUUAGAUACUGAUAGUCCUAUUAAUAUUUGUAAUUUAUUAUAGAGACUUUAGGUCAGUAGGAGAUUUGGAGACGGUGAGAGAUUCUUGA
RNAcentral lists this long non-coding RNA (261 nucleotides) under Elaeis guineensis (African oil palm). Its description in RNAcentral is "long non-coding RNA (EGUI_LNC046488)". Lineage: Eukaryota; Viridiplantae; Streptophyta; Magnoliopsida; Arecales; Arecaceae. The record is from RNAcentral.